AGUGAACGCUGGCGGUAGGCCUAACACAUGCAAGUCGAACGGCAGCACAGUAAGAGCUUGCUCUUACGGGUGGCGAGUGGCGGACGGGUGAGGAAUACAUCGGAAUCUACUUUUUCGUGGGGGAUAACGUAGGGAAACUUACGCUAAUACCGCAUACGACCUACGGGUGAAAGCAGGGGAUCUUCGACCUUGCGCGAUUGAAUGAGCCGAUGUCGGAUUAGCUAGUUGGCGGGGUAAAGGCCCACCAAGGCGACGAUCCGUAGCUGGUCUGAGAGGAUGAUCAGCCACACUGGAACUGAGACACGGUCCAGACUCCUACGGGAGGCAGCAGUGGGGAAUAUUGGACAAUGGGCGCAAGCCUGAUCCAGCCAUACCGCGUGGGUGAAGAAGGCCUUCGGGUUGUAAAGCCCUUUUGUUGGGAAAGAAAAGCAGCAGGUUAAUACCCCGCUGUUCUGACGGUACCCAAAGAAUAAGCACCGGCUAACUUCGUG
RNAcentral lists this ribosomal RNA (491 nucleotides) under uncultured bacterium. RNAcentral's name for it is "partial 16S ribosomal RNA". It matches the Rfam family "Bacterial small subunit ribosomal RNA", at positions 29 to 507 of the family's 1533-position model. The record is from RNAcentral.